Molecule: non-coding RNA, 181 nt
Organism: Tinamus guttatus (white-throated tinamou)
Lineage: Eukaryota; Metazoa; Chordata; Aves; Tinamiformes; Tinamidae
Source: RefSeq, a predicted model, not a curated record
UGAUUGGGUUUGUGUAUGCCUGCUACGUGAUCAGUAUUUUCAUGGAGGAAGAGGACAGCUUUGAUUUCAUAGGUGGACUUGACACAUACUCCUACCGACAACCCCCCCAGGAACAUGUUGAAUUAAAGCCUCUAAAGCCUGUAGGUCGAAAUAAGUAAUCAACCUUUUCUCAAGGCUUCUG